ACGAGGCUCGGGGGUCUCCCGUGCCCGUGAGCCGAGGUCGCUUCCCCACCGCUUGUCCUGGUGUAAGGAAACCCACCUUGGAUGUGUCAUGUCUAGCGACACCUUCCUUCCACCGUCCCUUCCUUGUGAAACCUGUCUGAUGUACAAAACUCCGCUUAGCAGCAGGAGGGGAAGGUAUUUUUGUCCUGAUGUCAGACUCAUGAGAUCUGGUCUCGUGUUUGAAAAUGAAGGUUCAGCCAGUGCAGCAACCAGACAGACUGGAUACUGAGGGCUUGGAGGAAAUGUCUUCAAAAGGUGCCUAUCUCUGUAUUGAUUUAGGAUGGAGCCUGGAUGACUAGCUCUGAUUGGGGAUGGCUACAGACUUUUGGAUGGCUACAGUUCAGAUGGGUUCCCUCAACUGACAGAAUGAAAUCUCUGAAAGUGAGUACGGGUAGGAGCACUGGGGUUUUUUGCAUGUAUUUAAAGAAAAUGAUGUCUCUUUGCUAAAUGAGUAAGUGGAUUGCUUUAUUAUAGAAUACAACUCUCCUUUCAAAAAUUGUAUUUUGCAUUUGCUGUAAUGCAGGAGGAACUGGCUCUGAGUAGGUAAGCAAUUUAAGAAGCUGAAUGACAGAAGUACUUCUGACUUGCUAGGCAGUUCAUGGGGUGGCUACAGUGCAGUGUUGUGUAACAGAUGAUACAAACAAAAAGCCUGCAUGUUUCAUGGGGAGUUUCACAGCAGGAGUCUGAACUCUUUAGUGAAUACAGUGUAAAGUAAGAGUGUAUAUGUAAAGGAAAGAUAUAUAUUAAUUUGUUACUGUGGCCUUAAAUAGCCUCUCAUUCCAGAAUCAAGCUGAAGUCCUAAGGCUGCAGCAAUAAAGUGUUUGUACUGAACAAUAGUCAUAUGCUGCCAUGCUUGAAUUCACAUAGAGCCAAGGCAUUUCAAAUCCCACCAAACCUGUUCAGAGAUAAAUAAACUACAAAUAAUAACCUAAAGGAAACACUUUGAUGUCUGUUUGGUAUACAGUAUUUAAGACACGUGAACAGGGGAAAGAUACUUUUUCAUCACUGCCUUAUAAUAUUCUAAAGUAAUGUAUGCUGGACUAGGUGACUCAUGAUCUGAAGUUUCUAUAGCCCAGCACUUGAUGCAUCAUUCUGAGAAGUGUAACAACUAAAGCAGGAGUGAAGCAUUAUGUGUGUCUAGCACAGUGCACUUCCUGGGAUUUGGGUGUCUGGUAUGUCAUGUGUUCCAGCCCUGCAUUUGGUGGAUUAGAGGUAAUUUCUUUAAACAAUAACAGAAAUUGUAUACUUAAUCCAAUACACAUGAUGCAAAAGCACGUACUUAGUGGAAAAUGCUGUGGUCUCAUUGGGCCUGUGUUGCUAUCCACUCUCAUAAAAUUAUUGCACUAAAAGAUAUUGGUUUAUAUUGUAGCUACAGAAGAUACAGUCCUGUAAGAUGACAUGCCAUCAUCUUUAUAGAUGGAAAAUCUUGUUCUGCUCCACUGUAAUUUUUAACAAUAAAAUUAUAACAAAAAUAACAAUCUAUAACAUUAACCAUAUGUACAGACGUGGAGAAAACAAAACCUUUAAUGUCCUGGGAGAUAUUCUCUCUACUUUUAGGCUUUAUAGCCAUUUGGGCUCUCAGAAUGUUUUUUUAUAAAAAUCCUCUUCCUUGAAAUUUUCAGUAUGUCCGUGAGUGCAAGUGUCUGAGAUGAGCCAGAUGAUGGGUUAUUAGUGGAAACAUUAAUUAGGGACAGUCAAUCCUUCACUCCUUACUCUUUUAUUUAAGUGCUACUGUGUUUUGGGUGUACCACUUGGUUAAUGUGAUGAUGGGCCACGUUUUGAGAUUGAGUCCAGCUUUUUAUUUGUUACUCUAAGACUGAAAUUGUUCUCACAUAUCUCUUCCAUGACUUAGUUAAGUACUUAAGUGUUUUUUACAGUUUCUAUAUGAAGAAAUUUCAAAUACUUUCAGCUAAAAGGCUAAUGCAAAAUUCUGUGAUACAUGGUUAGUAUCCCCCUCAUGCUGCAUAAGUUUUGGGUUGUUAGUCUUCAGCUUUUCUACUAAUGACAUAAUUCCUUUGUUUUAGAUGGCCAACUACUUAUUUAAUAUAAUAAUAAUAUUUAAUUGAAAACAAUCUGCUUUCUUUUGUUUACUGCUUUAUCAGAUGAAGGUUUGUUUUCAUAUUAGAGUUGUAUUACUUCAAUAUUCAAACCCAGUAAUUCCUAAUUUGAAAUGUGAAUCUCCUACUACAAUUUGUCCUUACAUGCCUUCCUUGAGGUAAAUAGAUCUAGUAAGAACAAACGUGAAGGGGGUAUCAUGUAAUGAAGCUCCUGCUUCCUGCUGUUGAACCUGGUAGUGGGUGAAUUUGAAGGACUGCAGCUUGGAAGUCCUCUGCUCAGUUCUGAAGUCUGGGAUAUACUGAAAGGUAUUUUCUAGUGAUUACUGACAAAGUGAUGUGCAAAGGAGGCUUAGAGAGGAAAACAUGCCUCUGAGCAGAAGAAUGUUCAUGUAGAAAAGAAGAAAAAAAUUAUAAAUGAAAUUAAAUAUGUAUUUUAAAAACUCUUAUCUGUUUAUACUUAGUAUUUAAGCAACUGCAUUAUUAAGACUACACUACUGGAAAUAACAUUCUUUACUUUUUUUGUGUAUGUACUCAUCACAGAUUUUACAGAUUAAAAUACACAGGGUAAAUCUCUGAAAAUACAGUAUGGAAUAUUAAAUCUGUUAGAUAAAAUAUCAUUGCUGAUAUGAAACAGGUUCUGAUUUAACACACAUCUCUAUGGAAAACAUUUCUGCACUCUUUAUCUCACAUAUAUAUCUAUAUAUAGAGAGAUACAUAUAUAGAUAUAGUGUGUGUGUCUAUAUAUAUAUGUAUAUAUAUAUACACCACCUUAAAUUACCAUUUUUUGGCUUUUUGAUUACCAAAAAUUGUCAGAGCAUGGCUGUCUUCUAUAGAGGUGUUUACAAUUUAUUGUGAAUCUGACUUUUUCAGUCACAAACACUAUUUUAGUAGUGCAUUUUAAUAGAAGAGCAUCUGCACUCAGGUAAUCUGACCAGCACAUGUAAUCUAACAUUUGCAAUGAUGAUUUUUGCAUGUUAUGAAAAUAAUGGGUUUGUGCCUUAUAGAUGCUUAAGGUUCAUGCCUUCUGUUUCUGUAAGUAUUCUUAUUCCACGUAAAGCAACAAUGUUCUAGUCCAAUGAGACAAGCUGAUUCUGUCUCCAAGUGCCCUGUUUUGUAAUCUUGCAGAAAUACAUUUCUGAUUUUUUUUUUUUUACUACUGUGAUCCUACAACAAGGUUUACUACAAUUCUUAGCUGCAUAAACAGAAGAAUGUCAACAGUAGAAGCAGAUGAAUUGUGUAGGGCAUUGAUGGAACCUUAUUGAAAAUGAUUCAGUGAAAAGCUCUAGAAAUAGUGACAGUAGAAAAUGUAUCACUGGUAUGUGUUUAGAAUCUAUUUUAGGUUGACUUAUUCAAAGAAGAUACCAAAAUAUGCAGCUGAACCUGAGAAUAUUUAGAAGGCUGGAAAGGAGUGUGUUCAUCACAGAGGAGUACACCCAAUAAUAACCUACUUGCUGGGGGAUGAUUAGAUGCUACUUUAAAGGUUUGUCUACUGCUUAUGUCUCAAGUUCAAAACCAGUAUUUCUAUUCUGUAAAUGGACAAGCUACAGCACAAGGUACUGGAAUAUUUUUUCUAUUUCUUCCAUUUCCUAUGGGAAACAUUUUUCUUCUUACCUUCUGCCUUUCUUCCUUCUACAAAGGUCAGAGUACAUGUUUAACAUAUUAGCCUUAAUUUAAAAAGAGGUGUGAUAGUUAGCAUUAAUAAGAAGACAUAAUUUGAAAGCAAAGUAAAAAUAAUGCUUGCAAGGUUCCUUUUCUAGCUGCAUUACUCCAAAAGAAUUACCUAAAUCAAAGUAUGCUGAACAGUAUUAUAUCUUGGUGUUUACUUAAACUAAGUCAGGUCCUUUCUUAAAAUCCGUAUGACUCAAAGUCUUAGCUUACUUAAAGAAAUGCAGAAUUCAAAUUUUAGCUAAUUAUUUUAAAGAAGUGUCUAGAGAUCCUAACUGAGACUAGAAGAAUUUUCUUUUCAAGUUGUAUGUGAUAUGUGGAAUACAACAUCAGCAGUAUAAGGAGAGAAUUUUAAUGUCAGGUUUAAAAGAAUUUUAAAAAGGCUGUUUCUCUGUAAAUCUGCAUUAAAUUAAAAGGUAUACCUGAAGCAUCAUGAGUAAGGAAUCAAUAGUGCUGAAAAAAAGCAUAGCUUAAGAUAUAUAUAUCUAAAUGUACAAAAUAAAAAAUAGAGUUAAUUAUGGAAGUGGAAAUGCUUUUGGUUAGACCUCCCCCAAAAGGGUAUCCUGCUCUGUAUUCUUGGUCCACUAUCAAAUGCCUGUUCAUAUUCUAGUCCACUUUAUUAAUCCCUCCUUUUUCCUCCCAUAAUACUCUGCUUCUUUGCAGUUUAGUUGUUGCCAUUUUGCUUGUUUACAUAGCAUUCCAUAUGAAAUACCUCACAACUCUUUUUACUUCAUACCUAAAGAAUUCCCCCUUAAUUGCCAGCAAUUCUUAGUAUCAAAAGCAUGCUAAACACAACAGGUUAAAACAAGAAAUGAAAACUACAACUAAACUACCGAAAAAAAAAUCUGUGUAGGCAGCAGUCACCACAGAUGGGAUUCAUUCAGUAUACAGCUCUUAGUUCUACCACCCACAUAAUCCCCAUUAUCAUUUCCUACCAAACACACUUCAUUAGCUCUGAAGAAAUCUCUAUUGUCUCUACUAGCAGAUCACUGAAGGUACUGUCAUGAUAUGGAUAUAAAAGUUAAAGGUCAUAUCAAUUAAAAACCAUCCCUUUACAAUCCUUUAGAAGGUCAUAAUAAUUAAGCAUAUUUUCAUUUGAUGACAACCAAUAAUAUGAUGAACCACUACCAAUUUUAUCCUUUAUAAGUAAAAGUAUUCUUCCUGCUAGUACUGAGCACUAGGAUAUCAUCAUCCAGUGGUUCUCCCUGUUCCCCAUUCGUUUGUUCAUUUGUCCCAAUUAAUUAAGUGAUAGUAUAAACUCAAGAAAGCGAUGUGCUGUCCCAGAGGAAGGAAGCAAGGCUCUGCCUUUGCUGGAGCACAAGCUGUCAUUCCUGAUUUCUAUACAGGGUGGAGUUCUGCAUUCUUGUUAUUGCUCCCACUGUUGAUGCUGAUGACAGUUCUUCCAGGAGAGACAGUGCUUUGAUCAUGUGCGUAGCUGCGGAUGAGGAGGAAACUUGCAUUGCCUUCUUAUGAGGGACACAAUGACUUAGGGAACUUGGCUGAGUAAAUGGGAGGAUAGAAAUUCUGAUUCUUCUGCCCUUUUUCUGAACACCACCCCCCCAAUUGUUGUGCUAUAAUGCAGUUAUAAAGCAGUUUUGCUGUAAAUAAGAUGGAUCUAAAUUAAAAUUGUAAAAAUCCCCAGCAAGUGCUUGUUUUGUUAUUUUAGAGGGGGAAAACCCCAUAAAAUUAUGCAAAAUAACCACAUCUGAUUCACAAAUAGCUGUAUCAGCAGAACUAGGAGGAGCUGGUGUAAGGGUGCAAACUCCACAAGCUGGUGUAGCUGCUACAGUGCUCAUAUUGUUAAAACCACAACCAAAGACAGAAUUUAAUUAAAACAUCUAAAUCAUCCAUUCUUGUGGUGGUCAGUUCAUUUUGAGUUAGGAGAGAGUAAUUGUUUCCAAGUACUUUGCCUGCAGCAGUGGAGUAGACUACACAAGGCUGUCUUAUUUAUGAGUUUUUAAUAAAUUACCUGAUCAGUCAUGUGGCUUUAUGUUCUUAAAAAUAUUAGCUGGUAAAUGUUGCUAAAGGUCAUGGAAUUAUAGUUUGAAGAGUUUGUUGUUCAAGCACUAUCUUGUCACUUCUUGUUCUUCCAUUUAAUGAAUUGUUAACUAACAUAUUUAAUGUCUUGGGAAAUCUCCAUCUUACUAUUCUUUCCUUCCCAGUAACUUCAGAGAUUUCUGUGAAUGAAACAAUAGAGGUUUCACACAUUGAUUUCCUCUGUUUCAGUUCAGCCAGCUGGUGGUGAUGUCACACACAACCACCUGUGUCUAACAAGCACCUGAUACUGUUCCUUCCUUAAGGACUGAAAGUUCAAGACACGUGUACAUACCAGCUCUGUAUCGGCAUUUGUACUAUAAACACUGGAUUGCUAUCAUGAUUCAGAUAAACAGGAGACUUGUUCAGCUGUUUUAGUUACUUUGGAUCAUUUCCUGCAGCUUUACUCAUCCUCCCAAUUAACAUGAAUACACAUUUGGGUUUUUUCCAAGUUGGCCAUUAAGAAGGUUAAGUAGGUUGGGCCUUGUGACUAAUGUUUCCUUGGCUCUGACUGUAUUUUGCUGCUCCCCAAGAGUAUUCUAUCAUUUUUUAUUAGCAUGCUGGAGAAACUCUGAGAUUCCUGAUUGUAGGACAGCACUUGAAAUAUUCUAGAAAUCCCCAAGCUCCAAAAUGAGAAAUCCCACUCAGCAGUAAGACCCAGCAUGGAGGGGCAAAUACAGAAGUACUUGUACUGUAAAAAGACAUCUUGCAUUAGCAUUGUCAUUAUUAAUCCAGUUUACUACUGCUGAGCUUUCAUGUUCUGUAUUGAUUAAAAAAAAAAGGUUACCAGUGCCACAACAAAACUUAGUCAAGAGGAUGCUGCACAAAUUGGAUGUGGUUCUUCAACCCCUAAAGAUGUUUGUUGUUCCACUAACAUGGUAAAGGUAGUAAACAGGUUUUGUCACUGCUGAUGCCUCAUGACAGGCAACAAAUCAAGAAUGCAGUUGCUUAACUAUUUUACUACAUAAAGUUUAAGUGUAAUCCUGUUUUAGAAAUGUCAGCAAUAUAAAGAGGCAGCAGCUUAAGGAAAGCAACAUAAUCCAUCCAUGUGCAGUAAGCAUAUCCCUCACCAGUGUUUAGUUGUGAAUCAUGAUGAAUAUUACAUCCAUGGAUUAAAGUCUUGAUCUUACAUAGUCAUUUGCAUAGCAAAUGGGUUUGUUCAGGGCCUGUGUAUUGACAUUUUAGACACUUACCUUGAACAAGAAAAUAUUUUUGUUUUAAGUUAACUUUAGAAAUCACCUUAGCUAAAUUACUUAAAAAGAAAGGCACAUAUUCUAAAACAAGAGUAUUCACCUCAAGGGUGGGUACUUCUUGAAAUGUUUGUCUACCUAGGGCUAUACUCCAGGUGCUAGUAUUGCAAUGAAAAUUGAUUACUCUUUCCACACCUCACUGCAAAUACGAAAUGGCUCUUACAAUGCCUUAGUUUGCUUUCCUCUAUAGUGUUUUACAUUACUUCAGCAGGAAGGAGAAGCAGGAAGUAUAGAGAUAGUACUACAGGUGUUACAUGUUAUGGGUGUGUUGAUUUCUGUUUUGGAGUCAAGCCAUUGACUGAAUUUCCUCCUUCUGUAUGCUACUCAAGUAAAAAAACAAAACAAACCAUCUAUUUAAACAUAAAAACCAGUCUUACUUCCCCUAUCUUUUGCAGUAUUUGUGUUAAGGAUCACAAAGUAGUGAAUAUUCUGUAGCCUUCAUAGAAUUCCUGACAGAGAAACACCAAUGAAAGAACCAGUUGCAUAUGGUAUUGCUUCAGUAGAAAUUAUCAUUUUUAUAACCCAGACACUGCUGCCCAUAUUUAUGUUCUUUCUCUACUAGAAAAUCAAGCAAGUUAGAUAAAAAGAAGUGUUAAGAGUUGAAGUUUACCUAGAAGUGCAGUUAAGUGUGCUGCAAGGGCAGGUCAGCAGCUCUUCUUGCCUUCCAGCCCAGGAGAUCAGAAGAACAUGCUGAUGGUACCUCAGUGCCAAUGGUCUGGCUAUGGUGAAGCAAAUCCUGCAGUGAUUAAUGUUUUUUUCCUGGUCUGUUUGCCUGAGCUCUGUAAUUGAAAAUUGCUAAAGCAGGUCAUUUGAAGUAUGUGUGGUAUCUUAGGAACUAUAACUUAGUGAUCAUAAAUUUGCAUUACAAAUGCUCUUACAGCUCCUUACUUGGCAUAAAUUUUCAAUCUGAACUGCUUAUUAAAUACACCACAACUCACCCAUCCUGUAAUUUCCAUUGGCCUAAUAUCUGUCCAUUUAAGUUCCAUUUUCUUCUAGUUUUUAUCCUCUAUUCCCUUCUUUUGGAUGCUUUUGAUUUUAUGUAAAGAAUGUAGGAGUGAGUUCUUCCGAUUUCUCACAUUUUUCUGUGGUGAGGAAACAGAAGAACCCAUAUAAAAAUUAUUAAAGAAAUCAGCUAAAACAAAGAAAAACUGGACAGUGGAAUAAAUGUCAAAAAUACAGAAAAGGACAGAUGUCACCUUUUCAAAUGCUAAACUGUCCUUCUUUAAAAAAAAGCUUUCAGAGAAAUAAAACUGGUGAUUUUACUGUACUCAGAAGGUACAGCUAUUAAGCGUAAAUAUAAAUUUUGAAGAAAUUAAAGACAACAGUGUUUGGAAUGUCUGCCAUCAGCAGGUAGGGUUAUCAAGUUCCUGAGUGUUCGAAUACAAAACAUUUAAGCUAUGGCCAGAUACUGCAGUCAGGAGAUUGAAAAGCAAAACUUUAAUCAAGCUGAAAGAUUUAAGAUGUUUCAGUGAAGUAGUUAAAAAGAUGUACGUAAGCAUUAAGUCAUUAAAAUGACUUAAGCCUCUUAAUCUUCUCAAAGGCAGAUUAGGCUAAAUUUAAACAAAACAUGACAUGAAGUCUAGUUUUGGUUUUACACACUAUGUAUCCUUGGCAUAGAAUUUAGUAUGCAUAGUUCUGAACACCGAUUUCCAUAAGAUAGCAUAUGUUCCUACAGUCUCCAAAAUACACUUGCUAUGGAGUUCUAACAGCUAUCUGCAAAAGCCACUAAUGACCCAUCCUAAUAGUACGACUUCUACACUUCCAGGAAAAAGGAAAACUCUUUGAAGCCAGUGAAAUGUUUGUGCUUAUACCAACUGCUGCUAGUGCGCGAUUUCAUUAUUCUCCUUAAAUGCUGACGUUUCUGUAAGCUCCGAUGGCAAAUGAACAUCCAUGUAAUGUCAAUUUUGUUUUACAAUAUGGACAUGUUAUUCCUUUGCAAAACUUGUGACUAAAGGAAAAGACUUUCAGAAUAAUUCCUUAGCUCUACUGAAUAUGGAGGAUGAAAAAAUAUAGUUGCAAAUAGCGCACUUUUAAUAAAUAUCUGUGGACAUUUUGCAUUAAGUUUUCACAACAAUGUAAGUUUUGCUUUUAAGUCUUGCAGAACUAAGAACUCUUUAAAAAAUGUAAGGUUUAAAAUAGAAUUUUUGGUACCCUUGAUUACAGCACACAAGUUGACAAAAAGCUGGGGAUUAAGUCCUCUUACUUGGCAUCCUUUUAAACGAUAUUUUUAAAGUAAAUAGCCAAAAAGCUAUUUUUAGGGGGGAUAGAAGGAAUAUAAUUCCAUUAGCAAGUUUAGUUAUAAAGAUUUUGUCC
Long non-coding RNA from Catharus ustulatus (Swainson's thrush), 9358 nucleotides. RefSeq lists it as uncharacterized. The transcript has 3 exons. Lineage: Eukaryota; Metazoa; Chordata; Aves; Passeriformes; Turdidae. The record is from RefSeq and is a predicted model, not a curated record.